Molecule: transfer RNA, 86 nt
Filed under: Candidatus Bathyarchaeota archaeon
Lineage: Archaea; Thermoproteati; Candidatus Bathyarchaeota
Description: tRNA-Ser
Rfam family: tRNA
About the family: Transfer RNA (tRNA) molecules are approximately 80 nucleotides in length. Their secondary structure includes four short double-helical elements and three loops (D, anti-codon, and T loops).
Source: RNAcentral
GCCAGGGUAGCGAAGUCUGGUUAACGCGCAGGCCUGCUAAGCCUGUGACCCGUCGGGUCGCGCGGGUUCGAAUCCCGCCCCUGGCG